UGCCAUCAGCCGCGGUAAUACGGAGGGUGCGAGCGUUGUUCGGAAUUAUUGGGCGUAAAGAGCAUGUAGGCGGACUGUUAAGUCUGGCGUGAAAGCCCGGGGCUCAACCCCGGAAGUGCAUUGGAUACUGGCAGACUUGAGUACGGGAGAGGGAAGUGGAAUUCCGAGUGUAGGAGUGAAAUCCGUAGAUAUCCGGAGGAACGCCGGUGGCGAAAGCGACCUUCUGGGGUGCUUGUGACGCUGAGGUGCGAAAGCUAGGGGAGCGAACGGGAUUAGAUA
RNAcentral lists this ribosomal RNA (279 nucleotides) under uncultured bacterium. Its description in RNAcentral is "partial 16S ribosomal RNA". It matches the Rfam family "Bacterial small subunit ribosomal RNA", at positions 506 to 784 of the family's 1533-position model. The record is from RNAcentral.